Molecule: microRNA, 23 nt
Filed under: Apis mellifera (honey bee)
Lineage: Eukaryota; Metazoa; Arthropoda; Insecta; Hymenoptera; Apidae
Description: ame-miR-9879-3p
Source: miRBase by way of RNAcentral
GUACCGUGGAACAAGGAAGUGGC